AUCUUUCAAAUAAUCCGAACCGUAUCGAAUCGACUCGUACUAGGUUCGAGAAAAGGUAGAGGGUCGGUGUGAUGAUGCUCAUGAUGUAUUCAGGAUGAUGUAAAAAUCAUUUUUGUUGAAAGUUAGACGUUGGAUGCUGACUGAAGUGACAUUUGGUGAGAUUACUUGAGAGCUGAGAUCUGACUAUCCCUGUGUUUCUAGACUUUGUGUAGUUUCAUCAUGUAGCAGUUAUCUUGUUACUUUCUUCAAGAGUUGGCUCACAGUCUUCGUAGUCAUACAACAGUGGGGAAAAUCUCAUGAAGAACAAAUCCCCUUUGCCCUAUUUGCACUGAUAUGAUUGUCAAGAUGGAUUUUUUGAUCUUGGUCUUGAAAUGAUGGAUUUGAAGGAGGAGGAGGAGGUGGGGCUACCUGCAAGUUACCCCAGCCCUCUUACCAGCCCCACCCCUCCUAAACCUCUCGCCCCAUUCCAGUUAUUUUUUCACCACAAUGGACUGGAGUCGUACCUCAAGUAUUUCCCGAAUGAUUUCACCCUUGGUCAUUUCCGUGCCCUGACGGAGGAUGAUUUGGAAGAUGAUUAUGGAGUGCAGAAGCUGCCGGAUAGGAUCAAGUUGAUGAGAGCUGUGCACAAGUCGAGAGAGGAGUAUGAUGAUAGAGAGAGGGAUCUGGAUAGGCGGUCACAUCAUGGUGGAGGAGAGUCAGAAGGAGA
Strongylocentrotus purpuratus (purple sea urchin) is the source of this 706-nucleotide long non-coding RNA. RefSeq lists it as uncharacterized. Lineage: Eukaryota; Metazoa; Echinodermata; Echinoidea; Camarodonta; Strongylocentrotidae. The record is from RefSeq and is a predicted model, not a curated record. The transcript is spliced from 2 exons.